ACACGCUUCGGAGAUGGCAUUCCUCCCUGAACCGCCGCUUCUGGCCUUGAAUCCUUGCGGGUUCGCCGGCCAGACGCAGCUGAUGAUGCCUACAAGUUC
This 99-nucleotide non-coding RNA is filed under the name Collimonas fungivorans. Its description in RNAcentral is "Fluoride sequence". It matches the Rfam family "Fluoride riboswitch aptamer (crcB RNA motif)". RNAcentral also lists the same sequence under 1 other name. The record is from RNAcentral. Lineage: Bacteria; Pseudomonadati; Pseudomonadota; Betaproteobacteria; Burkholderiales; Oxalobacteraceae.